Molecule: ribosomal RNA, 253 nt
Filed under: uncultured bacterium
Lineage: Bacteria
Description: partial 16S ribosomal RNA
Rfam family: Bacterial small subunit ribosomal RNA
Source: RNAcentral
UACGGAGGGUGCGAGCGUUGUCCGGAAUCACUGGGCGUAAAGGGCGUGCAGGCGGUUUGUUAAGUCUAGGGUGAAAGCUCCCGGCUCAACUGGGAGAGGUCCUUGGAUACUGGCAGACUUGAGGAGGGUAGAGGAGAGUGGAAUUCCCGGUGUAGUGGUGAUAUGCGUAGAUAUCGGGAGGAACACCAGUGGCGAAGGCGGCUCUCUGGGCCCUACCUGACGCUGAGACGCGAAAGCGUGGGGAGCGAACCGG